UUUUACUUACGGAAACAAACGAUGCAACUUUCCAUUUCCGUCUUUAAAUCACGUGAGGAAUCAUUGGGCCACGAGGUUGAUCAGAAGAAGCCUGGUCUUGAAACGGAGGGGUGGAAAGCACAUAUUGCGGACGAUGACAUGUGCUUUUGAUAAGAAUUAUUAAUAGAACCAUAAGAGACUAUGCCAGUUAAAACAUUGGAAGAGGAUUCAGUGAAUAUGGUAUAGAUCAAAGAACUGACAUGAGUGUUUAUGAAACAGAACAGAUAGAAGAGCAUGAUCCUUGUUAUAUUGAGUCAGGAGGAAGAAAGAUGGACGGAGUGAAGAACUGAUGUGUGUUGGCAGAAGAUGAUGGUACAACUUCUGAUAAUCCUUUUUCAUUUUGAUUCUUAGAACUCGUGUAAUUGCAUAAUGUAAUCACCAGGGUGCUCUUUUCUCAAAAAUCUUACGACUGAAAUUGAUCGCAAGUUAUGCUGAAAUGUUUGACUUGCAAGUGUUUUCUUAAAAGAUUUGUUGUGAAAUGAGUCCCAGGAUUUGAAAACCAGUAUAUAUAUUCUACAGAGAACAAAUGAUGAUUAACAUUCUGCCAAAUGAACUAUGUGAUUAUAAUCCAAGCCCGUAUAUUUUAUCUGAUGUUUUCUGUUUUUGGGUAUAUUGAUGAUUUGCUUUAGAUUUCUCAACCAUUAUAAAAUAAUAAUACUUCAAACAGAACAAAAUACUGUGAACUCUGAAACUUUUUCAAUAUUAUUAAUAAUUGAAAAAAUUGUACCGUAGUUUAAGUACUAGUAGUUUGAUUUUGAUAGCAUUAUUCGUAUGGAGCAUUUCCUUAAAUAGUAAAAUUUAAUCUUCUAUGUUGUUCAUGGUUCAACAAUCUCGAUAAUAAAUAAUGCACACAGGAAUUUCUGAAUUUACAUUCAUAUGAUUGAAAACACAGGACAUAGUUCAUUUCUUGUAUUUUGAAAAAAAUUCUGUGCCGGUUUUUUUUUUUAAAGCUUUUUAUGCACAUACAUGUAGAUUAAAAAGGUAGAUUAAUUUUUUUUUCUGUUAACAGAUAGAUAAAUGAAUUUUUAGAAAGAAAUAUUAAGUAGAGAUUAUAAAACUUUUGUAAUUUAGUAAUGGAUUAAAAUUAGUUUUGUCU
Molecule: long non-coding RNA, 1135 nt
Organism: Mytilus californianus (California mussel)
Lineage: Eukaryota; Metazoa; Mollusca; Bivalvia; Mytilida; Mytilidae
Exons: 4
Source: RefSeq, a predicted model, not a curated record